This 442-nucleotide ribosomal RNA is filed under the name uncultured Synergistaceae bacterium. Its description in RNAcentral is "bacterial SSU rRNA". It matches the Rfam family "Bacterial small subunit ribosomal RNA", at positions 338 to 795 of the family's 1533-position model. The record is from RNAcentral. Lineage: Bacteria; Thermotogati; Synergistota; Synergistia; Synergistales; Synergistaceae.
CCUACGGGUGGCUGCAGUGGGGAAUAUUGGGCAAUGGGGGCAACCCUGACCCAGCGACGCCGCGUGAGGGAAGAAGGCCUUCGGGUCGUAAACUUCUUUUGUACGUGAAGAAGCAGAUGACGGUAGCGUACGAAUAAGUCCCGGCUAACUACGUGCCAGCAGCCGCGGUAAUACGUAGGGGACGAGCGUUGUCCGGAAUUACUGGGCGUAAAGGGCGCGCAGGCUGCGCGUCGAGUCGGCUGUUAAAGAUCCGGGCUUAACCCGGUGAAGCGGUCGAGACCGACGAGCUGGAGUGCUGCAGAGGCAAGUGGAAUUCCCGGUGUAGCGGUGAAAUGCGUAGAUAUCGGGAAGAACACCGGUGGCGAAGGCGACUUGCUGGGCAGCAACUGACGCUGAGGCGCGAAAGCCAGGGGAGCAAACGGGAUUAGAUACCCCAGUAGUC